UACGGAGGGGGGCUAGCGUUGUUCGGAAUUACUGGGCGUAAAGCGCACGUAGGCGGCUUUGUAAGUUAGAGGUGAAAGCCCGGGGCUCAACUCCGGAAUUGCCUUUAAGACUGCAUCGCUAGAAUUUGUGGAGAGGUAAGUGGAAUUCCGAGUGUAGAGGUGAAAUUCGUAGAUAUUCGGAAGAACACCAGUGGCGAAGGCGACUUACUGGACACAUAUUGACGCUGAGGUGCG
RNAcentral lists this ribosomal RNA (234 nucleotides) under uncultured bacterium. RNAcentral's name for it is "partial 16S ribosomal RNA". It matches the Rfam family "Bacterial small subunit ribosomal RNA", at positions 524 to 755 of the family's 1533-position model. The record is from RNAcentral.